This 231-nucleotide ribosomal RNA is filed under the name uncultured bacterium. Its description in RNAcentral is "partial 16S ribosomal RNA". It matches the Rfam family "Bacterial small subunit ribosomal RNA", at positions 1270 to 1500 of the family's 1533-position model. The record is from RNAcentral.
AAUCUCAAAAAGACCGUCCCAGUUCGGAUCGCAGGCUGCAACCCGCCUGCGUGAAGUUGGAAUCGCUAGUAAUCGCGGAUCAGCAUGCCGCGGUGAAUACGUUCCCGGGCCUUGUACACACCGCCCGUCACACCAUGAGAGUCGGGAACACCCGAAGUCCGUAGCCUAACCGCAAGGGGGGCGCGGCCGAAGGUGGGUUCGAUAAUUGGGAUGAAGUCGUAACAAGGUAUC